CGGCGAGCGAAAAGAAAAUAGUUCAGCACUAAGUCACUUUGUCUUUAUGGCAAAUGUGAGAUGCAGUGUAUGGAAUGUCAAAUUUCUAGUAUGAGAAAUUAACGAUUUAAGUCCUUCUUAAAUGAGGCCAUUUACCCAAAGAGGGUGCCAGGCCCGUAUAACGUUAAUGAUUACUAGAUGGCAUUUCCAAAGAGUCGUGUUGCUUGAUAGUGCAGCACUAAGUGGGUGGUAAACUCCAUCUAAAACUAAAUAUAACCAUGAGACCGAUAGUAAACAAGUACCGUGAGGGAAAGUUGAAAAGAACUCUGAAUAGAGAGUUAAAUAGUACGUGAAACUGCUUAGAGGUUAAGCCCGAUGAACCUGAAUAUCCAUUAUGGAAAAUUCAUCAUUAUGAUUUUAAUAUUUAUAAUAUUAUAAUAAUGGUGUGCAUUUUUUCUAUAAAGGACAUUGUAAUCUAUUAACAUACAUUAAUUUAUCAUAAGAUCAUUUGCGUAUGUUUAUUCAAAUUAUUUUGCUUGCAAUUUAAUAUCGAAUAAAUGCUUUUGAUUUGAUAAAGUGUUGAUAGAUUUAUUAUAUACAGUGCUUAAAUAUUUAUAUUUUAUAAUAGCAUAUUAAUCAAUGAUUUUUAUGUUCAUUAUAUGCACUUGUAUGAUU
Molecule: ribosomal RNA, 654 nt
Filed under: Lucilia eximia
Lineage: Eukaryota; Metazoa; Arthropoda; Insecta; Diptera; Calliphoridae
Description: eukaryotic LSU rRNA
Rfam family: Eukaryotic large subunit ribosomal RNA
Source: RNAcentral